AAGAAAGUGAUAGAUUGGUUAUAUAGUUGAUUUGAAAUCGACUUAGGGGGGUUCGAUUCCUUCUUUUCUUG
RNAcentral lists this transfer RNA (71 nucleotides) under Ichthyosaura alpestris (Alpine newt). Its description in RNAcentral is "tRNA-Ser". It matches the Rfam family "tRNA". From Rfam's summary of the family: Transfer RNA (tRNA) molecules are approximately 80 nucleotides in length. Their secondary structure includes four short double-helical elements and three loops (D, anti-codon, and T loops). Lineage: Eukaryota; Metazoa; Chordata; Amphibia; Caudata; Salamandridae. The record is from RNAcentral.